This 112-nucleotide transfer RNA is filed under the name Candidatus Woesearchaeota archaeon. RNAcentral describes it as "tRNA-Glu". The record is from RNAcentral. Lineage: Archaea; Nanobdellati; Candidatus Woesearchaeota.
GGCUCGUUGGUGUAGUCCGGUCAAUCAUUCAGCCCUUUCGAACCUAAAGAAGAAAGGCUGUGACCCGGGUUCAAAACAAUUCAAAAGAUUGAUGAAAGUCCCGGACGAGCCA